GAUGAACGCUGGCGGCGUGCUUAACACAUGCAAGUCGAACGAAGCACUUUAUUUGAUUUCCUUCGGGACUGAUUAUUUUGUGACUGAGUGGCGGACGGGUGAGUAACGCGUGGGUAACCUGCCUUGUACAGGGGGAUAACAGUUGGAAACGGCUGCUAAUACCGCAUAAGCGCACGGCAUCGCAUGAUGCAGUGUGAAAAACUCCGGUGGUAUAAGAUGGACCCGCGUUGGAUUAGCUAGUUGGUGAGGUAACGGCCCACCAAGGCGACGAUCCAUAGCCGACCUGAGAGGGUGACCGGCCACAUUGGGACUGAGACACGGCCCAAACUCCUACGGGAGGCAGCAGUGGGGAAUAUUGCACAAUGGGCGAAAGCCUGAUGCAGCGACGCCGCGUGAGCGAAGAAGUAUUUCGGUAUGUAAAGCUCUAUCGGCAGGGAAGAUAAUGACGGU
Molecule: ribosomal RNA, 450 nt
Filed under: uncultured bacterium
Lineage: Bacteria
Description: bacterial SSU rRNA
Rfam family: Bacterial small subunit ribosomal RNA
Source: RNAcentral